This is a long non-coding RNA of Lolium perenne, 433 nucleotides long. RefSeq lists it as uncharacterized. The record is from RefSeq and is a predicted model, not a curated record. Lineage: Eukaryota; Viridiplantae; Streptophyta; Magnoliopsida; Poales; Poaceae.
CAAGCCAACUAAAGUUUCCGCUUCCAAAAACAAAGGAGCAAAGCAAGAAAAGAAACAUGAUGGUGUAGAGCCUCAAGUAGGAGUGGAGAAGAAAGAUGGCAGCGGUAAAGGCGCAAAUGUGGAUCUUCAUCAUUGUAACCCGAUUAUGAGUUUCACGGAACUCUUGACAGCUCCCUCCUAUGGUGUUUAUGGUGAAGAUAUGUUCUAGCUUGUUCAAGUUUGCUAGAUAGUGUAUUGAACAUGGAUGACCAUAGUAUAGUAUUUUGGACAGGGUUGACUAUAGUAUUUUGGAUUUUGGGGCUAACUAUAGUCUUUUGUGGCCUAAGUGUACAAGUAGAUUGGCCAAGUUUAUGCACUUCAGGGAUUAUGUAAGAGCAGAUUGUUGUGGGAUUUCAAUGUGAAAUGCUACAAAUUUUGUCUAUUGUUCACUUUA